This 406-nucleotide ribosomal RNA is filed under the name uncultured bacterium. RNAcentral describes it as "bacterial SSU rRNA". It matches the Rfam family "Bacterial small subunit ribosomal RNA", at positions 30 to 416 of the family's 1533-position model. The record is from RNAcentral.
AGUGAACGCUGGCGGCAGGCCUAACACAUGCAAGUCGAGCGGCAGCGGGUCCCCGCGAGGGGAUGCCGGCGAGCGGCGGACGGGUGAGGAACACAUCGGAAUCUGCCUGGGUUGUGGGGGAUAACGUAGGGAAACUUACGCUAAUACCGCAUGAGACCCUGAGUCGACGGACUGGGGGUGAAAGUGAGGGACCUUCGGGCCUCACGCGACCAGAUGAGCCGAUGUCGGAUUAGCUAGUUGGCGGGGUAACGGCCCGCCAAGGCGACGAUCCGUAGCUGGUCUGAGAGGAUGAUCAGCCACACUGGGACUGAGACACGGCCCAGACUCCUACGGGAGGCAGCAGUGGGGAAUCGUUGGACAAUGGGCGCAAGCCUGAUCCAGCCAUGCCGCGUGAGUGAAGAAGGCC